RNAcentral lists this ribosomal RNA (468 nucleotides) under uncultured bacterium. Its description in RNAcentral is "partial 16S ribosomal RNA". It matches the Rfam family "Bacterial small subunit ribosomal RNA", at positions 28 to 507 of the family's 1533-position model. The record is from RNAcentral.
GACGAACGCUGGCGGCGUGCUUAACACAUGCAAGUCGAACGGAAAGGCCCUGCUUUUGUGGAGUGCUCGAGUGGCGAACGGGUGAGUAACACGUGAGUAACCUGCCCUUGACUUUGGGUUAACUUCAGGAAACUGGGGCUAAUACCGGAUAGGAGCUCCUGCUGCAUGGUGGGGGUUGGAAAGUUUCGGCGGUUGGGGAUGGACUCGCGGCUUAUCAGCUUGUUGGUGGGGUAGUGGCUUACCAAGGCUUUGACGGGUAGCCGGCCUGAGAGGGUGACCGGCCACAUUGGGACUGAGAUACGGCCCAGACUCCUACGGGAGGCAGCAGUGGGGAAUAUUGCACAAUGGGCGGAAGCCUGAUGCAGCAACGCCGCGUGCGGGAUGACGGCCUUCGGGUUGUAAACCGCUUUCGCCUGUGACGAAGCGUGAGUGACGGUAAUGGGUAAAGAAGCACCGGCUAACUACGUG